AAGCUCGUAGUUGAAUUUCGGGGUUAGUAGGUUGGUCAUCCUCCGGUAUGUACUGAUCUCACUGAUUCCUCCUUCCUUAUGAACCGUAAUGCCAUUAAUUUGGUGUUGCGGGGAAUUUGGACUGUUACUUUGAAAAAAUUAGAGUGUUUAAAGCAGGCUAACGCUUGAAUACAUUAGCAUGGAAUAAUGAAAUAGGACGUUCGAUCUUAUUUUGUUGGUUUCUAGGAUUGACGUAAUGAUUAAUAGGGAUAGUUGGGGGCAUUAGUAUUCAAUUGUCAGAGGUGAAAUUCUUGGAUUUAUUGAAGACUAACUACUGCGAAAGCAUUUGCCAAGGAUGUUUUCAUUAAUCAAGAACGAAAGUUAGGGGAUCGAAGACGAUCAGAUACCGUCGUAGUCUUAACCAUAAACUAUGCCGACUAGGGAUCGGAUGAUGUUAAUUUUUUAAUGACUCAUUCGGCGCCUUACGGGAAACCAAAGUGUUUGGGUUCCGGGGGGAGUAUGGUCGCAAGGCUGAAACUUAAAGGAAUUGACGGAAGGGCACCACCAGGGGUGGAG
This 555-nucleotide ribosomal RNA is filed under the name uncultured Rhizophagus. RNAcentral describes it as "SSU rRNA". It matches the Rfam family "Eukaryotic small subunit ribosomal RNA", at positions 624 to 1181 of the family's 1831-position model. Lineage: Eukaryota; Fungi; Glomeromycota; Glomeromycetes; Glomerales; Glomeraceae. The record is from RNAcentral.